Molecule: ribosomal RNA, 327 nt
Filed under: uncultured eukaryote
Lineage: Eukaryota
Description: partial 18S ribosomal RNA
Rfam family: Eukaryotic small subunit ribosomal RNA
Source: RNAcentral
CCCUUAGAUGUUCUGGGCCGCACACGCGCUACACUGAAGGAGGCAGCGUGUACUCCUGGAUCGAAAGAUUUGGGUAACCCGCGAAUCUCCUUCGUGCUAGGGAUUGAGAUUUGCAAUUAUCCUUCAUGAACGAGGAAUUCCCAGUAAGUGCAAGUCAUAAGCUUGCGCUGACUACGUCCCUGCCCUUUGUACACACCGCCCGUCGCUACUACCGAUUGAAUGAUUUAGUGAGGACUUCGGACUGGGACCGAUGCGGCUUUCGGGCUGCGUCGGUAUUCUGGAAAGAUGUCCAAACUGUAUCAUUUAGAGGAAGUAAAAGUCGUAACA